This 253-nucleotide ribosomal RNA is filed under the name uncultured bacterium. RNAcentral's name for it is "partial 16S ribosomal RNA". It matches the Rfam family "Bacterial small subunit ribosomal RNA", at positions 524 to 776 of the family's 1533-position model. The record is from RNAcentral.
UACAGAGGGGGCAAGCGUUGUUCGGAAUUACUGGGCGUAAAGGGCGCGUAGGCGGCCUUCUAAGUCGAACGUGAAAUCCCCGGGCUCAACCCGGGAACUGCGUCCGAUACUGGAAGGCUUGAAUCCGGGAGAGGGAUGUGGAAUUCCAGGUGUAGCGGUGAAAUGCGUAGAUAUCAGGAGGAACACCGGUGGCGAAGGCGGCUUUCUGGACAGAAACUGACGCUGAGGCGCGAAAGCUAGGGGAGCAAACAGG